UACGGAGGGAGCUAGCGUUGUUCGGAAUUACUGGGCGUAAAGCGCGCGUAGGCGGCUUUGUAAGUUAGAGGUGAAAGCCCGGGGCUCAACCCCGGAACUGCCUUUAAAACUGCAUCGCUUGAAUCCGGGAGAGGUGAGUGGAAUUCCGAGUGUAGAGGUGAAAUUCGUAGAUAUUGGGAAGAACACCGAUGGCGAAGGCAGCCAUCUGGACCGACACUGACGCUGAGGCGCGAAAGCGUGGGGAGCAAACAGG
Molecule: ribosomal RNA, 253 nt
Filed under: uncultured bacterium
Lineage: Bacteria
Description: partial 16S ribosomal RNA
Rfam family: Bacterial small subunit ribosomal RNA
Source: RNAcentral